This 453-nucleotide ribosomal RNA is filed under the name uncultured bacterium. RNAcentral describes it as "bacterial SSU rRNA". It matches the Rfam family "Bacterial small subunit ribosomal RNA", at positions 28 to 475 of the family's 1533-position model. The record is from RNAcentral.
GAUGAACGCUGGCGGCGUGCUUAACACAUGCAAGUCGAACGAAGAUAUUUAGAAUGAGAGCUUCGGCAGGAUUUUUAUCUAUCUUAGUGGCGGACGGGUGAGUAACGUGUGGGCAACCUGCCCUGUACUGGGGAAUAAUCAUUGGAAACGAUGACUAAUACCGCAUGUGGUCCUCGGAAGGCAUCUUCUGAGGAAGAAAGGAUUUAUUCGGUACAGGAUGGGCCCGCAUCUGAUUAGCUAGUUGGUGAGAUAACAGCCCACCAAGGCGACGAUCAGUAGCCGACCUGAGAGGGUGAUCGGCCACAUUGGGACUGAGACACGGCCCAAACUCCUACGGGAGGCAGCAGUGGGGAAUAUUGCACAAUGGGCGAAAGCCUGAUGCAGCAACGCCGCGUGAAGGAUGAAGGGUUUCGGCUCGUAAACUUCUAUCAAUAGGGAAGAAAGAAAUGACGG